RNAcentral lists this ribosomal RNA (492 nucleotides) under uncultured bacterium. Its description in RNAcentral is "partial 16S ribosomal RNA". It matches the Rfam family "Bacterial small subunit ribosomal RNA", at positions 29 to 507 of the family's 1533-position model. The record is from RNAcentral.
AGUGAACGCUGGCGGUAGGCCUAACACAUGCAAGUCGAACGGCAGCACAGUAAGAGCUUGCUCUUACGGGUGGCGAGUGGCGGACGGGUGAGGAAUACAUCGGAAUCUACUUUUUCGUGGGGGAUAACGUAGGGAAACUUACGCUAAUACCGCAUACCACCUACGGGUGAAAGCAGGGGAUCUUCGGACCUUGCGCGAUUGAAUGAGCCGAUGUCGGAUUAGCUAGUUGGCGGGGUAAAGGCCCACCAAGGCGACGAUCCGUAGCUGGUGUGAGAGGAUGAUCAGCCACACUGGAACUGAGACACUGUCCAGACUCCGACGGGAGGCAGCAGUGGGGAAUAUUGGACAAUGGGCGCAAUCCUGAUCCAGCCAUGCCGCGUGGGUGAAGAAGGCCUUCGGGUUGUAUAGCCCUUUUGUUGGGAAAGAAAAGCAGCAGGUUAAUACCCCGCUGUUCUGACGGUACCCAAAGAAUAAGCACCGGCUAACUUCGUG